UCGGCGCCUGGGUCGGACUGGCCGUGGUGCUGGCACUACUGUUCCCACAGUUGGAGACCGUGGUGCAGAA
This 70-nucleotide transfer RNA is filed under the name Mycolicibacterium austroafricanum. RNAcentral's name for it is "tRNA-Ala(ggc)". Lineage: Bacteria; Bacillati; Actinomycetota; Actinomycetes; Mycobacteriales; Mycobacteriaceae. The record is from RNAcentral.